CUAACACAGGCCCUUAAGCAC
This 21-nucleotide transfer RNA is filed under the name Dendrobates truncatus (yellow-striped poison frog). Its description in RNAcentral is "partial tRNA-Phe". The record is from RNAcentral. Lineage: Eukaryota; Metazoa; Chordata; Amphibia; Anura; Dendrobatidae.